This 240-nucleotide unclassified non-coding RNA is filed under the name Ascomycota sp. Its description in RNAcentral is "partial contains small subunit ribosomal RNA, internal transcribed spacer 1, and 5.8S ribosomal RNA". The stretch from base 1 to 47 matches the Rfam family "Eukaryotic small subunit ribosomal RNA", at positions 1785 to 1831 of the family's 1831-position model. The record is from RNAcentral. Lineage: Eukaryota; Fungi; Ascomycota.
AAAGUCGUAACAAGGUUUCCGUAGGUGAACCUGCGGAAGGAUCAUUACAGAGAAAUUGCCCUUCAGGGUAGAUCUCCCACCCUUUGUUUACCUUACCUUUGUUGCUUUGGCAGGCCCGUCUUUCUGACCGCCGGCUUCGGCUGGUCCGCGCCUGCCAGAGGGACCCUAAACUCUUGAUUUUUUGUGUUGUCUGAGUUAUUACAAAAGUUAAAACUUUCAACAACGGAUCUCUUGGUUCUG